UCCGUUUGAUCCUGGCGGAGGUUACUGCUAUCGAGGUUCGACUAAGCCAUGCGAGUCGAAUGUAGCAAUACAUGGCGUACUGCUCAGUAACACGUGGACAACCUACCCUUAGGUCGGGGAUAAACCCGGGAAACUGGGUAUAAUACCCGAUAGUCCUCGAAUGCUGGAAUGCAUCGAGGUCUAAAGCUCCGGCGCCUAAGGAUGGGUCUGCGGCCUAUCAGGUAGUAGUGGGUGUAGCGUACCUACUAGCCUACGACGGGUACGGGUUGUGAGAGCAAGAGCCCGGAGAUGGAUUCUGAGACACGAAUCCAGGCCCUACGGGGUGCAGCAGGCGCGAAAACUUUACAAUGCUGGCAACAGCGAUAAGGGGACCUCGAGUGCCAGGUUACAAAUCUGGCUGUCGUGAUGCCUAAAAAGCAUUGCAUAGCAAGGGCCGGGCAAGACCGGUGCCAGCCGCCGCGGUAACACCGGCGGCUCGAGUGGUAACCGUUAUUAUUGGGUCUAAAGGGUCUGUAGCCGGCUGGAUAAGUCUCUUGGGAAAUCUGGCAGCUUAACUGUCAGGCUUUCAGGAGAUACUGUCUGGCUCAAGGCCGGGAGAGGUGAGAGGUACUCAGGGGUAGGGGGAAAUCUUGUAUCUGAAGGACCACC
Molecule: ribosomal RNA, 648 nt
Filed under: uncultured Methanosaeta sp.
Lineage: Archaea; Methanobacteriati; Methanobacteriota; Methanomicrobia; Methanotrichales; Methanotrichaceae
Description: bacterial SSU rRNA
Rfam family: Archaeal small subunit ribosomal RNA
Source: RNAcentral